RNAcentral lists this ribosomal RNA (429 nucleotides) under uncultured bacterium. Its description in RNAcentral is "bacterial SSU rRNA". It matches the Rfam family "Bacterial small subunit ribosomal RNA", at positions 355 to 776 of the family's 1533-position model. The record is from RNAcentral.
UGGGGAAUUUUGGACAAUGGGGGCAACCCUGAUCCAGCAACGCCGCGUGAAUGAAGAAGGCCUUAGGGUUGUAAAGUUCUUUUGUCAGGGAAGAAAGUUUCUGUGCUAAUAUCAUAGAACGAUGACGGUACCUGAAGAAUAAGCACCGGCUAACUACGUGCCAGCAGCCGCGGUAAUACGUAGGGUGCAAGCGUUAAUCGGAAUUACUGGGCGUAAAGCGUGCGCAGGCGGAUAUGUAAGUUAGAAGUGAAAUCCCCGGGCUCAACCUGGGAACUGCUUUUAAGACUGCGUAUCUAGAGUUUGUCAGAGGGGGGUGGAAUUCCAAGUGUAGCAGUGAAAUGCGUAGAGAUUUGGAGGAACACCGAUGGCGAAGGCAGCCCCCUGGGAUAAAACUGACGCUCAUGCACGAAAGCGUGGGUAGCAAACAGG